RNAcentral lists this ribosomal RNA (440 nucleotides) under uncultured bacterium. Its description in RNAcentral is "partial 16S ribosomal RNA". It matches the Rfam family "Bacterial small subunit ribosomal RNA", at positions 338 to 795 of the family's 1533-position model. The record is from RNAcentral.
CCUACGGGCGGCAGCAGUGGGGGAUAUUGCACAAUGGGGGAAACCCUGAUGCAGCGACGCCGCGUGUGGGAAGACGGUCCUCUGGAUUGUAAACCACUGUCCCCAGGGACGAAGAUGACGGUACCUGGGGAGGAAGCUCCGGCUAACUACGUGCCAGCAGCCGCGGUAAUACGUAGGGAGCGAGCGUUGUCCGGAAUUACUGGGUGUAAGGGGAGCGUAGGCGGGACUGCAAGUUGGGUGUCAAAUCUACCGGCUCAACCGGUAGCCGCACUCAAAACUGCAUUUCUUGAGUGAAGUAGAGGCAGGCGGAAUUCCUAGUGUAGCGGUGAAAUGCGUAGAUAUUAGGAGGAACACCAGUGGCGAAGGCGGCCUGCUGGGCUUUUACUGACGCUGAGGCUCGAAAGUGUGGGGAGCAAACAGGAUUAGAUACCCUAGUAGUC